This 68-nucleotide transfer RNA is filed under the name marine eukaryotic metagenome. It matches the Rfam family "tRNA". From Rfam's summary of the family: Transfer RNA (tRNA) molecules are approximately 80 nucleotides in length. Their secondary structure includes four short double-helical elements and three loops (D, anti-codon, and T loops). Further hydrogen bonds mediate the characteristic L-shaped molecular structure. tRNAs have two regions of fundamental functional importance: the anti-codon, which is responsible for specific mRNA codon recognition, and the 3' end, to which the tRNAs corresponding amino acid is attached (by aminoacyl-tRNA synthetases). tRNAs cope with the degeneracy of the genetic code in two manners: having more than one tRNA (with a specific anti-codon) for a particular amino acid; and 'wobble' base-pairing, i.e. permitting non-standard base-pairing at the 3rd anti-codon position. The record is from RNAcentral.
GGGAGUAGCUCAGUUGGUAGAGUCCAAGCUUCCCAAGCUUGUUGUCGCGGGUUCGAAUCCCGUCUCCC